AGAGUUUCGAUCCUGGCUCAGGACGAACGCUGGCGGCGUGCUUAACACAUGCAAGUCGAACGGUGAACCCGCUUCGGUGGGGGAGUCAGUGGCGAACGGGUGAGUAACACGUGGGCAACCUGCCCUCAGCUCUGGGAUAACUCCAAGAAAUUGGGGCUAAUACUGGAUAUGACCGCUGACCGCAUGGUCUGGUGGUGGAAAGAUUUAUCGGCUGGGGAUGGGCCCGCGGCCUAUCAGCUUGUUGGUGGGGUAGUGGCCUACCAAGGCGACGACGGGUAGCCGGCCUGAGAGGGUGACCGGCCACACUGGGACUGGGACACGGCCCAGACUCCUACGGGAGGCAGCAGUGGGGAAUAUUGCGCAAUGGGCGAAAGCCUGACGCAGCGACGCCGCGUGGGGGAUGACGGCCUUCGGGUUGUAAACCUCUUUCAGCAGGGACGAAGCGAAAGUGACGGUACCUGCAGAAGAAGCACCGGCCAACUACGUG
This 487-nucleotide ribosomal RNA is filed under the name uncultured Blastococcus sp. Its description in RNAcentral is "bacterial SSU rRNA". It matches the Rfam family "Bacterial small subunit ribosomal RNA", at positions 8 to 507 of the family's 1533-position model. Lineage: Bacteria; Bacillati; Actinomycetota; Actinomycetes; Geodermatophilales; Geodermatophilaceae. The record is from RNAcentral.